UGAGAGAGCGCGAGCAAGUGGUGUGUGUGAGCAGGGGGAGUACCAGAGGUGGGGGGGAGCAUCUCAAGCAGAAUCCUUGCUGGGUGCAGAGUCCGAAGCAGGGCUCGAUCUUAUGAACCUGAAGUCAUGACUGAGUUGAAACCGAGUCAGUCGCGUAACCAGCUGAGCCCCCCAGACACCCCUUUUGUUCUUCUAAAUGUUUUAUAGUUCGUACGCUUGGCUCCAUGCUCCGUUUUGAGUGUCUGAUGUGAAGCAGUGGCCCAAAUUCAUCUUUUCGGGUGUCCAUUAUUACCAACUGUCUUAGCAUGGUUUGUUGAGGAUUUUUUCCCCAAUAAAUUGUCCUGACAUCUUGGUUGGAAAGCAGCCGACCUUAAAUACACGGUUCGUAUCUGGAUUCACCAUGUGGUUUCACAGACUGACCUCACGCGUCCCCGUAUGCCAGUACCACCCUGUCUUGGUCACUGUAGCUUUGUAUGAUACUUUGUAAAAAGGGAGAGUAAGUCUUCCCAGUUUGCUUAUUUAAAAAUCAUUUGAACUAUUCUAGGUUUUGUUUGUUUCUGGAUGAACUUCAGGGUCAGUUGCCAAUUUUUGCAAAGCGGUUGGCUGCAGUCGUGACUCCGAUUGAAUGGUCUGUAAGAUUUUGGUAACGGAAGUUGCUUCUAGAAGAGGAGGAGGAAGGAAAGGAGGCGAUGCCCAUGACACGCGCUUCUCUGUGGUCUGAACGUGGCUGAGCGGCAGGAACGAAGGCGCAGGGAAGCCGCCCAGCGAGCAGCUGCAGGCAGCUCGGGUCAGUGGCCCUGUGCAGGGGGUCGAGGGGGGAGGCAGGGGUGUGGGUAGGCAGGAGACGGGCAAAUGCAGGGAGGAGCUCGAACCCGAGGUGGUGGGUGUGACGGCAGCCUGUGAGGACAGAGAGAAUGAAGGGACUUGACCUUGGGACCAUGAAGCUGAAGACCCGACCGGUCACGGUUGGCGAGGUUGGGGGGGUGGGGCGUGUCGUGGUUCGGAAUGAGCCUCCCGCCUUCCGGGGCCGAGGGUGACCAGCCGACCUCACGGAGGACUGGGUCAGGGCAAGGGUCGGGUUCUGAGGGAGCCGUGCGGGCGGCCUCGCGUGGGGGAAGCGCACUGUGCGGGGCACGUGCUGAUGCACGUCCACGGACCAUCCCCGUCGUGGCCGCUCCCCAGCUAAAGCGCUACAGCAUCAGGUCCUGCGGGGUAGCGGCCGCCCACACGUGAGGCGCUUUACACCCACCAUGGGGGUCAGUGCUCACCAAGGCCCGGACCUUCCAGGGCAGAGGACACCAGCGGGCUGGGGGCUGCGGGGCCUGGAGGCGGCCGGUGAGCGGACGUAGGGGCGCGGACGCGAGUCCUCCCACGGGGCUGGGUCCGGGAACGCAGGGCCACAGCUGACCGGAGUCACCGUUGCCUCAAAUCCCCGCCGGCCGGCGCACACGAGCGUGGGCAGGACGGCAUCCCUCCUGCCCUCCGUCUGCGCGGCGCCAGGUCCUUGGAGGGAGAAUGUCAGGGCGGAUCUCAGUCUCCUGACCUGUCGGUCUGGAAGGUAGAACUAGUGGACGUUUCUGCAGUCCGGCCGCUGCGGACCCCUCACAAGCAGAACACUGGAGAGACUCGAUUUGGCCGACUGAAGGCUCUUUCCGCCUUACAAAUCUCACACGACACUUUAAGAAAGACACUUUAUUGAACGGAAAGACCGUAAUUACUUACAAUCUGAGAACCCCACCUAAUAAACUGGUUUCAGGAACAAGAGGACACUGCAGGGCACUAAUGUCCGGCUUCACUGGAGGCCGGAGCGGACUCGUCCCAGCAGCGUCGGGUCUGGCGGCGUCGGGGACGGGCAGCAUCCCCCGUCCUCCGUGCGGGCUGGGACGCGGCUUAAAGGUAGGCGCAGAGCCGCUCCAGCUGCCCGGGGUUGGCGUCACUCAGGAACAGCAGCUCCUUUUUCCCUUCUUCUGUAUGAGCUAGAGCGGGGGAGACAGCGGGGGAGACACCCAGCUGGCAGUGCUGUCGGCAGCGCCGUGCGCCCCGGAAGAUUCUGUGCGCAGAGGCUACGUGCUCCAGACGGUGCUGGUAUGUGACGACCGCUCCCGGAGACCCCGCUUCUAGAUCCUUUCUCUCAGCAAGUGACUAUUCUGUCCGUCUCUGUUCCUCUGCACUCCAGCACGUCUCCCUCUGCUCCAAGAACCUCACCCGGCCUUUCAGACUUUGUCGCACGCCGACCCCCUCAGAAAUCUCCGCGCCGCGGCCCCCGGCCCACCGAUGCUGCAGCUGCCCUUCCCUCCAGUCCCUGGUGAUGUCCUCCACGGCUGCUGGCUCGCUCUCGCCCAGGGACAGGACCACCACGGCCUCUGCUCCGCUUGCCUGUGCCUGGGCCGGGGUCAAGGCUGCGGUGUGCGGCCGAAGGCGCCGUGUCCACAGAGCGGGAUGGGCGGAGCGUGGGUCUGGCCUGGCGCCGGCGGGCCUGGCUCACAUCCAGGGCUGGGCUUCGAGCCCGAGCCUCUUAUUCUAGACCCAUGUGAGGUGGUGGGAAGAAAUGCACCGUCUAGUAACGGCCCCCCCCCCCCCCACCGCCACCUUUCUUGCCGUCUGAUAGGCCAGAGAGAAGUCGAGAAAAAGGGAGAAAGACCACGCAGGCCGCUGCCGUGGGAAGACAUCAAGGCUCUGACUUGAGGGCUCCGUGAGCAGAAACUCGAGAACCAACCUUUCUCAUGCUGCAGCCAGCUGUUCUCCAGGUAGUACUGAAUGCAGCGCUCAAACUCCUCUGGGCUGUAGUUGGAGACCAGGACGGGAACAAAGGGGUCCAAGGCAUCAAAUCCUUCCUGGAGAAGGAAGAACCGUUCAGUGACGAGUCAUCAGAGUGACCUGACCUUAGCGCGACCAAGGUGCCCGCUUUCCUUCUCUGCUCCUUGCUCUCGGGCCACCCCGUGGCACACAGGCGCCACGCACGGCAGCUGGCCGCUGUCGCCCGUGGCCUCCUGCAUGGUCCUUGUGCCAGGGUGAUGAUGCCCACGGGGGAGCUGCCACCUGCUGUGCAGACAUAGUGACAACUCCUUUGUUUACAGUUCUGCCUUCAGUAGUCAAGCCACUUAGUUCACAAACAAAACAAGGGCAGUGAUAAGCCACUAAACGGCCCCCACUGAAACCAGUCCGGCCCCCACUGAAACCAGUCCGUCACCAAACCGCAGUGCAGCUUGCAAACACAACAACGAAGGGACCAGGGACCGAGCUCACUCCUGAGCAGAGCACCUGGACCAACGACCCCGCCCAGGACGACAAAAGCCCGGAGCUCGGGCUGCGCCCCACGGCCAGGCCGAAACCAGAGAGGUGAUGGCCGAGCCGGGACGCGGCUCACGCACGCAGAAUGGGGCAGAGGGGAGGCUGCGCUGUGGGUGGUAUCACCCGAACUCAAGGGUGUUUCACAGGAAUCAGGGAAUGUAGAGACGUGUGUGGGUGUGCAUGUGAGGACGCGUGCCUAGAGCAUGCGCGUGCGUGUGUGAAGGCGGGAAUCCUGUGUCCUGGGUUCUCACACUGCCCUGGGGGCCUCGAGGAGGGGACAGCCCAGACGUAGGAAGCACACAGCACUCGGGUCUUGGAGUCUAAAUCCAGCCCAUGCUCAAGACAGUGGGGGGGAAUUCAGUUCUACCUCCUGAAGAAGGCAGCCUAUUUUAUUUUUUCUAAGACUUAACUUAUUUGAUAGAGAAAAAGAUCACAAGCAGGCAGGUGGGGGGGGGGGGAAGCAGGCUCCCUGCCGAUGUGGGGCUCGAUCCCAGGACCCCGAAAUCAUGACCUGAGCCGAAGACCUUAACCCACUAAGCAACCCAGGUGCCCUAAAGGGGCCCUAUUUUAAACAUUUUGUUUUAAAGUAUGAUAUCGGGCUCCCUGCUCAGCAGAGAGCCCGCUUCCCCCUCUCCCUGCUGCUCUGCCUACUUUUGCUCUGUAUCUCUCUGUCAAAUAAAUAAAAUCUUUUCAAAAAUAUAAAAAAUAAAAGUAGCCUCCAGGGGUGCCUGGGUGGUUCAGUCGGUGAAGCGUCUACCUUUGGCUCAAGUCAUGAUCCCGGGGUCCCUGCUGGCCACAGUCCGCCUGAUGGGCCCCGCCCUCCUAGUCUGUGCGUGCUCUGUCAAUUAAAUACAUAAAAUCUUUAAAUAAAUUAAAUAAAUGAAUAAAGGUUCAAUA
This is a long non-coding RNA of Mustela lutreola (European mink), 4188 nucleotides long. RefSeq lists it as uncharacterized. The transcript has 2 exons. NCBI's taxonomy places the organism in Eukaryota, Metazoa, Chordata, Mammalia, Carnivora, Mustelidae. The record is from RefSeq and is a predicted model, not a curated record.